RNAcentral lists this ribosomal RNA (274 nucleotides) under uncultured bacterium. Its description in RNAcentral is "partial 16S ribosomal RNA". It matches the Rfam family "Bacterial small subunit ribosomal RNA", at positions 523 to 796 of the family's 1533-position model. The record is from RNAcentral.
AUACGGAGGGUCCAAGCGUUAUCCGGAUUCAUUGGGUUUAAAGGGUCCGCAGGCGGGAAAAUAAGUCAGUGGUGAAAGCCUACAGCUCAACUGUAGAACUGCCAUUGAUACUGUUUUUCUCGAGUAUAGAUGAAGUGGGCGGAAUAUAUCAUGUAGCGGUGAAAUGCAUAGAUAUGAUAUAGAACACCGAUUGCGAAGGCAGCUCACUAAACUAUUACUGACGCUCAGGGACGAAAGCGUGGGGAGCGAACAGGAUUAGAAACCCUAGUAGUCC